RNAcentral lists this long non-coding RNA (566 nucleotides) under Mytilus galloprovincialis (Mediterranean mussel). Lineage: Eukaryota; Metazoa; Mollusca; Bivalvia; Mytilida; Mytilidae. The record is from RNAcentral.
AUUUUAGUUCAUUUAAUGUUUUUAUACGACCGCAAAAUUUGAAAAAUUUUUCGUCGUAUAUUGCUAUCACGUUGGCGUCGGCGUCGUCGUCGUCGUCCGGCGUCCGAAUACUUUUAGUUUUCGCACUCUAACUUUAGUAAAAGUGAAUGGAAAUCUAUGAAAUUUUAACACAAGGUUUAUGACCACAAAAGGAAGGUUGGUAUUGAUUAUGGGAGUUUUGGUCCCAACAUUUUAGGAAUUAGGGGCCAAAAAGGGCCCAAAUAAGCAUUUUCUUGGUUUUCACACUAUAACUUUAGUUUAAGUUAAUAGAAAUCUAUGAAAUUUUGACACAAGGUUUAUGACCACAAAAGAAAGGUUGGGAUUGAUUUUGGGAGUUUUGGUUCCAACAGUUUAGGAAUUAGGGGCCAAAAAAGGGCCCAAAUAAGCAUUAUUCUAGGUUUUCGCACAAUAACUUUAGCUUAAGUAAAUAGAAAUCAAUGAAAUUUAAACACAAUGUUUAUGACCACAAAAGGAAGGUUGGUAUUGAUUUUGGGAGUUUUGGUCCUAACAGUUUAGGAAUAAGGGGC